This 391-nucleotide long non-coding RNA is filed under the name Cervus hanglu yarkandensis (Yarkand deer). RNAcentral describes it as "lncRNA (ENSCHYG00000013897.1)". The record is from RNAcentral. Lineage: Eukaryota; Metazoa; Chordata; Mammalia; Artiodactyla; Cervidae.
UAAAGCCAGUAUACUCCAAUAAAAUUUUUAAAAAAUCCUUUGCAGGAGAUCAGUCCCCUCUGGGAGCAGCCCUGCUGUUCUGGGAGCCUCAACACGGCAGAUCAGGAACCAAGGCAGCAUGAGGCAUGAUGGCGUGGCUUUCUGUGACGGUGGGCACUUUUCCAGGGGUCUCUCCUUGGUCUCUCAUCCACCCCUCCAAGGUCCAUCCACAUCGCUGAAGCUGGCAUUCUUUCAUUCUUUUUUAUGGCUGAGUAAUAUUCUGCAAAGAGGACAGUCUUAUCUUAGGUUUAUAACCGAGGAGCCUGAGGUCCAGGAAGGCCAGGUGACCCCCCCUAAGGUCACGCAGCAGGUGGUGGAGAUGAGAACUGAAGCCAGUUUGCUGACACCCAGG